RNAcentral lists this long non-coding RNA (386 nucleotides) under Brassica napus (rape). Its description in RNAcentral is "long non-coding RNA (BNAP_LNC010167)". Lineage: Eukaryota; Viridiplantae; Streptophyta; Magnoliopsida; Brassicales; Brassicaceae. The record is from RNAcentral.
CUAAAGCAUUGGUUUUAAAUGACUUACACCAUAACCAGCUGGUAGAGCAUCUUCUUCUACUUCUUCUACUUCUUCUACUUAUAUCCAUCUGAAAGCAAACAAGACAAAGGAUAUUCAUUAGAUACUAGAGGUAGAUACUAGAGGUCUAGAAACAGUACAAAAGAGAACAAACAACUAAAGCGAGUAAGUAUGUAACAAUCAGAAACCAAAUACACAAACCCAUCAAGUGAACUAAAUACACAAACACAAUCAGAGAUGUAACAAUCAGAAACCAAAUAAACAGAUGAAACCCAUCAAGCUAAUCAGAGAAACCCAUCAAACAAAUCAGAGAAACCCAUCAAACGCAAGCUAUAUAGAGAAACCCAUCAAACAAAUCAGAGAAACCC